RNAcentral lists this ribosomal RNA (468 nucleotides) under uncultured bacterium. Its description in RNAcentral is "partial 16S ribosomal RNA". It matches the Rfam family "Bacterial small subunit ribosomal RNA", at positions 28 to 507 of the family's 1533-position model. The record is from RNAcentral.
GACGAACGCUGGCGGCGUGCUUAACACAUGCAAGUCGAACGGAAAGGCCCUGCUUUUGUGGGGUGCUCGAGUGGCGAACGGGGGAGUAACACGUGAGUAACCUGCCCUUGACUUUGGGAUAACUUCAGGAAACUGGGGCUAAUAUCGGAUAGGAGCUCCUGCUGCAUGGUGGGGGGUGGAAAGUUUCGGCGGUUGGGGAUGGACUCGCGGCUUAUCAGCUUGUUGGUGGGGUAGUGGCUUACCAAGGCUUUGACGGGUAGCCGGCCUGAGAGGGUGACCGGCCACCUUGGGACUGAGAUACGGACCAGACUCCUACGGGAGGCAGCGGUGGGGAAUAUUGCACAAUGGGCGGAAGCCUGAUGCAGCAACGCCGCGUGCGGGAUGACGGCCUUCGGGUUGUAAACCGCUUUCGCCUGUGACGAAGCGUGAGUGACGGUAAUGGGUAAAGAAGCACCGGCUAACUACGUG